UCCGAGUUGACCCCGGCAGUCUCCCAUGAGUCCCCGGCAUUACUCGCUGGCAACGUAGGACAGGGGUUGCGCUCGUUGCGGGACUUAACCCAACAUCUCACGACACGAGCAGACGACAGCCAUGCACCACCUGUGAUGGUGUCCCGAAGGAAAACCGUGUUUCCACGGCGGUCACCAACAUGUCAAGCCCAGGUAAGGUUCUUCGCGUUGCGUCGAAUUAAACCACAUGCUCCGCUGCUUGUGCGGGCCCCCGUCAAUUCCUUUGAGUUUCAUUCUUGCGAACGUACUUCCCAGGUGGAUUACUUAAUGCUUUCGCUUGGACGCUGAUCAGUGUAUCGCCAACGUCGAGUAAUCAUCGUUUACGGCGUGGACUAC
This 375-nucleotide unclassified non-coding RNA is filed under the name uncultured bacterium. RNAcentral's name for it is "contains 16S-23S intergenic spacer region". The record is from RNAcentral.